UCCCCAGUAGCUCAGUCGGUUAGAGCGACGGACUGUUAAUCCGCAGGUCGUAAGUUCGAAUCUUACCUGGGGAGCCA
RNAcentral lists this transfer RNA (77 nucleotides) under Corallincola sp. RNAcentral's name for it is "tRNA-Asn". It matches the Rfam family "tRNA". Rfam says of the family: Transfer RNA (tRNA) molecules are approximately 80 nucleotides in length. The record is from RNAcentral. Lineage: Bacteria; Pseudomonadati; Pseudomonadota; Gammaproteobacteria; Alteromonadales; Psychromonadaceae.